AUUGAACGCUGGCGGCAGGCCUAACACAUGCAAGUCGAGCGGAUGAAGGGAGCUUGCUCCUGUAUUCAGCGGCGGACGGGUGAGUAAUGCCUAGGAAUCUGCCUUGUCUUUGGGGAUAACGUCCGGAAACGGGCGCUAAUACCGCAUACGUCCUGAGGGAGAAAGUGGGGGAUCUUCGGACCUCACGCUAUCAGAUGAGCCUAGGUCGGAUUAGCUAGUUGGUGGGGUAAAGGCCUACCAAGGCGACGAUCCGUAACUGGUCUGAGAGGAUGAUCAGUCACACUGGAACUGAGACACGGUCCAGACUCCGACGGGAGGCAGCAGUGGGGAAUAUUGGACAAUGGGCGAAAGCCUGAUCCAGCCAUGCCGCGUGUGUGAAGAAGGUCUUCGGAUUGUAAAGCACUUUAAGUUGGGAGGAAGGGCAGUAAGUUAAUACCUUGCUGUUUUGACGUUACCAACAGAAUAAGCACCGGCUAACUUCGUG
This 484-nucleotide ribosomal RNA is filed under the name uncultured bacterium. Its description in RNAcentral is "partial 16S ribosomal RNA". It matches the Rfam family "Bacterial small subunit ribosomal RNA", at positions 30 to 507 of the family's 1533-position model. The record is from RNAcentral.